Molecule: ribosomal RNA, 253 nt
Filed under: uncultured bacterium
Lineage: Bacteria
Description: partial 16S ribosomal RNA
Rfam family: Bacterial small subunit ribosomal RNA
Source: RNAcentral
UACGAAGGGGGCGAGCGUUGUUCGGAAUUACUGGGCGUAAAGGGCGCGUAGGCGGCCGAUCAAGUCAGAUGUGAAAGUCCUGGGCUUAACCUGGGGACUGCAUUUGAUACUGGUUGGCUUGAAUGCAGGAGAGGAUAGCGGAAUUCCCAGUGUAGAGGUGAAAUUCGUAGAUAUUGGGAAGAACACCGGUGGCGAAGGCGGCUAUCUGGACUGUGAUUGACGCUGAGGCGCGAAAGCGUGGGGAGCAAACAGG